UUUUUGGUUCCUAUCCGUAUCCCGUAAUUACUACUUAUUGUAAGCCACAGCUCUGAUUGGAGCGCGUUUACAUAAAGAAACCAGUUUCAUCUGAAGGGACUUGGAAAAUCCCUCUCGUAAAGGAAAUGCAGGGGGUGUGAAGAAGACAACCGGCUGACAACCUGGAAUGACACUAAACGUUGAACUGCGCUUCCUGUUUUUUUAAAGCAAGACGACGCUGGGCCAAUUGUGCGCCGCCCUAUGAGACUCCCAAUCGCGGCCAGUUGGGAUACAGCCUGGAAUCAAACCAGGGUCUGUAG
Oncorhynchus masou masou (cherry salmon) is the source of this 299-nucleotide long non-coding RNA. RefSeq lists it as uncharacterized. The record is from RefSeq and is a predicted model, not a curated record. NCBI's taxonomy places the organism in Eukaryota, Metazoa, Chordata, Actinopteri, Salmoniformes, Salmonidae. The transcript is spliced from 3 exons.